Long non-coding RNA from Saccostrea cuccullata (small rock oyster), 117 nucleotides. RefSeq lists it as uncharacterized. The record is from RefSeq and is a predicted model, not a curated record. The transcript has 3 exons. Lineage: Eukaryota; Metazoa; Mollusca; Bivalvia; Ostreida; Ostreidae.
AAAAGGCAAAUCUUCGGCAAAGGGAGGCUCGGGUCAAUAUCAUCAGUGUUACAUGCAUGAUGUUGUAACAGAUGCACUGCCUUUUGAAUUGCCACAGCAACAAAAUGAUCCAAAUGA